GACAUGUAAGAUAGCUGUAAUUCUUAUGGUACUAAGUCAUAUUAUUUUCUCUUUUCAUCCAAUUUUUUUUUCUCUACCUGAGGUUGAAAAGUAGCUAGGGAAUAAAAAGGGGAAAAGUUCUGUGAAUGUCUGCUUCUCGCUGUGCACAUAACCUUUAUUCAAGUGAGGAGAGGUAAGAACAGAAAGGGGAUAGAAAAGAGACUGAAGGAUAAAACGUGCAAAACUUGUGACUCACUAGGAGCCGGCGGGAUGAAAGAAAGGGGCAGAGUUAAGGCACUUUGAGAAUAGAGGGUCAGGAGAGGAAAGAUGCCUUUAGAUAUUUGAGGGGCCCGUGGGGAGCCCAGGAUCUGCGGAGAGUGACAGUCAUGCCGAAGCCAGGAUGGCCUUGUUCGGGGUGCUGUGGGGACGCAGAGCUCCAGCUGGGGAGUGUGAGGGGCCACAGGGGCUGGAGGCCGGCAGCAGGGAGGUACAAGGAGUAGGAGAGGAAAUGACAAAUGGUAUCAGAUCACGCCAGUGGGUCAAGUCAAGGAUGGAUAAAAGCAUUGGUUGAGUAUCUGCUACAUUUUUUUUUUUUUUUUAGUGAUAUUUUCCGUGUAGCACGAAGUUCAAGAACAGGCCGAGCUAGCCGGUGUACUGAUUAGGGAGCUCUGUAUAUGGUAGAUCCUGUAGCAGAGCAAGGGAGCUGCCCUCACGGGCUCGGGUCGGAGGAAGGGCGGGGUACCGGCGCUGCUGGGAACUUCUCCGUUAUGACCCAGAGGCACUGGGCACGGUGCUCCCGUUCGCUUUUGUAUAUGCUAAUGCACUCUUGUAUGUAGGCUCUACUUUAAACCCGUCCCUCCCAGUUUUAAAAACUGCAUCACUUAAAAGAGUAUUUGUAAAUGAUUUAAGUAAAGGAGUACUAGGUGGUUCACCCCCAGGCUCAGGCACAGGUGGGUCGAAGGAGCACUGACUGAGGUGGCUUCUGCCACCACAAAAUAAAAAGUUGUCGUCAGGAAGAGGGAGACUGAGGACAAAUAAGCAGCCACAACAGCCUUAGGGCUGGGCUCGGGGUGCCCCUUCCAGCCCCACCUGCCCUCGGUCCGAGCACCAAGGACGGAGCCCAUGCAGAUGAAGAGCAUGCUUGAGAGCCCCAGGGCGUUGUCUCCGGCUGCAGCGUGUGACCCACCUCACGCUGGACAGCGCGGCUAGGUCGCUUGGCAGGCCUCGCCCCAGGGACAGCUUCUGUGUGCCCCUCAGUGCGGGAAGGACCCGCUCUCCCGUUGGUUGGCAGGAAUUGUCAUACUGCAGAAUCAGUGAGUUGUCACCGUGGACUAGGAGGUCAGUCUUUGGGCACUUGGGUGCUCAGGCAGUGAGUUCCGCAGGACUGUCCCUCUGGUCACAAGGGGUCUGUGGUGUCUGCCCUUAGCCCAGGGCCUGUCCCGGCACCUGCGGUACAGUAGGCGUCACACGGACCGUUGGGAUGAAGACCAUGGUCGGGCUUCUAGAACCACGGUCUAGGCCAUAGGCUGCCUAGAAGCAGGGAUUCUGUGAACACAGGAAGAGUUGCUCAGUAUCGUUAGUCAUCAGGGAAGUGCAGCUCAAAACCAGACGCCCAGUCCCACUUCACACCCACCAGAUGUGGAGUGGAACCCUCGUGCCCCGCCGACAGGAACGUAAACCAGGCAGCUGCUGGGGAGACAGCUCGGUAGCUCCUCAGAGUGCUGUCCGGAGUUAUAGGGUUUUCCGAUGCACUAGUUCUCCUACUAAAUAUGUACAUAAAAACGUACGUUCACACUGAACUUGUAUGCAGAUUUUCAUAGCAGCUGUAUUCGUCGUAGUCUACGGGUAGAGACCACCCGUUGGCCGCUGAUGCGCGGGGGUGACGCUGUUCAGGGCAAGAGCAGGUGCACCGCUGGCCCUGCUGUCCACCUCUGACCUUUGACCUCCACCCCAAAUCCCAUGGCCCUGCUCUCCCUCUUGGAGGCAGACUGGGAAGGUGCUGGCCGGCCCCUCGCCCCUCACCCUGCUCCUCAGUCCGCCCAGUCUCUGACCUCUGACCUCUUGCAGAGUAGGGGCUGGGGGUUGGAGACAACAUCUACCGCGCCUCUCUCUAGAGUCACCGUGAGGUUUAAGCUACUCUGUUGAAAAGUUCUUUAUGAAGCAAAGGCUCAGGAAGAUGCCCAAAAUUAAUAAUCCUGGGACUAAAGCACAUGCUGUGACCUUUGAAUAACAACUGAAAGUAAAGGAACUGUGGAUGGUACACCCGGGAAGAGUAGUUCCACAUGUCCCUGUGAGUGUGGCAGCCACAUUUACAGACGUUCCAGAUUCUCAGACGUUCUGUUCUGUGUGACACUCCUGUGGUGUGAGCCUCACAUCGGAGCCUUGAUAAGUAGGAUUUUUGACAAGUGGUCAUGGGAGGGGACAGGCCUGUCCAAGUGGAAGGUGAUGGGGCUGGAGUGGAGCAGGCCAAGCAAUGGAAGAUGGGGAGGCUAGGGUGCCUUGCACUCAAAGGGCAAAGUCCUCUUUCGAAAACCACCGGCCAAGCUGGGGGUGCGGUGGGUGCUGGUGUCCCCCUCUCCCUGGACCCCCGGUCCCUUUAUGUUAUUCAGUAGAUAGUUAAAGACUUUGGCGUCUGCUUGGACGGCAGGGAGAUUGUUCGUGGUCAGAGGGAAUGGCUGUUGUGGUGUCCGUUGGUCUCUGAUUGACUCCACGUGAUGUCUGUGACUGUAAACUCCGCUUCUUCACAGCUGACCAGAGUCUCUCCUUUUACUUCAUCUCUGACUUUUCAUCUUUGUCUCAUGUAGGAAACCGCUGAUUGCUUGUGUGGAGAAGCAGCUCUUAGGAGAACAUUUAACAGCAAUUCUGCACAAAGGGCUGGACCACCUGCUUGAUGAGAACAGAGUGCCCGACCUCACUCAGAUGUACCAGCUGUUCAGCCGUGUGAAGGGCGGGCAGCAGAUCCUGCUGCAGCACUGGAGUGACUACAUCAAGACUUUUGGGACAACAAUUGUGAUCAAUCCUGAAAAAGACAAAGAUAUGGUACAGGAUCUGCUGGAUUUUAAGGAUCGGGUGGACCAUGUGAUAGAAGUGUGCUUCCAGAGAAAUGAGAAGUUCAUCAACUUGAUGAAGGAGUCCUUUGAAACGUUUAUCAACAAGAGGCCAAAUAAGCCCGCGGAGCUGAUAGCAAAGCACGUUGAUUCAAAGUUGAGAGCGGGUAAUAAAGAAGCAACAGACGAAGAGCUGGAGAGGAUUCUUGACAAGGUCAUGAUAAUAUUCAGGUUCAUUCACGGUGAGAUACCCUCUACGCUGUUCCUAUUA
This is a non-coding RNA of Leptonychotes weddellii (Weddell seal), 3297 nucleotides long. NCBI's taxonomy places the organism in Eukaryota, Metazoa, Chordata, Mammalia, Carnivora, Phocidae. The record is from RefSeq and is a predicted model, not a curated record.